This 255-nucleotide ribosomal RNA is filed under the name uncultured bacterium. Its description in RNAcentral is "partial 16S ribosomal RNA". It matches the Rfam family "Bacterial small subunit ribosomal RNA", at positions 524 to 776 of the family's 1533-position model. The record is from RNAcentral.
UACGUAGGGUGCAAGCGUUGUCCGGAAUCAUUGGGCGUAAAGAGCGUGUGAGGCGGCUUGGCAAGUCUGGUGUGAAAUCUUGCGGCUCAACCGCAAGCGGUCACUGGAAACUGCCUCGCUAGAGUCCGGAAGAGGAGAGCGGAAUUCCUGGUGUAGCGGUGGAAUGCGCAGAUAUCAGGAAGAACACCCGUGGCGAAGGCGGCUCUCUGGGACGGUACUGACGCUGAGACGGCGAAAGCAUGGGGAGCGAACAGG